This 256-nucleotide ribosomal RNA is filed under the name uncultured bacterium. Its description in RNAcentral is "partial 16S ribosomal RNA". It matches the Rfam family "Bacterial small subunit ribosomal RNA", at positions 524 to 777 of the family's 1533-position model. The record is from RNAcentral.
UACGAAGGGGGCUAGCGUUGCUCGGAAUUACUGGGCGUAAAGGGCGCGUAGGCGGAUCGUUAAGUUCAGAGGUGAAAAGCCCAGGGCUCAACCCUGGAAUUGCCUUUGAUACUGGCGAUCUUGAGUACGGGAGAGGUGUGUGGAACUCCGAGUGUAGAGGUGAAAUUCGUAGAUAUUCGGAAGAACACCAGUGGCGAAGGCGACACACUGGCCCGUUACUGACGCUGAGGCGCGAAAGCGUGGGGAGCAAACAGGG